This 253-nucleotide ribosomal RNA is filed under the name uncultured bacterium. RNAcentral's name for it is "partial 16S ribosomal RNA". It matches the Rfam family "Bacterial small subunit ribosomal RNA", at positions 524 to 776 of the family's 1533-position model. The record is from RNAcentral.
UACGGAGGGGGCUAGCGUUGUUCGGAAUUACUGGGCGGAAAGCGCACGUAGGCGGACUGUUAAGUCGGGGGUGAAAUCCUGGGGCUCAACCUCAGAAUUGCCUCCGAUACUGGCAGUCUCGAGUGCGGGAGAGGUGAGUGGAAUUCCCAGUGUAGAGGUGAAAUUCGUAGAUAUUGGGAAGAACACCAGUGGCGAAGGCGGCUCACUGGCCCGUAACUGACGCUGAGGUGCGAAAGUGUGGGGAGCAAACAGG